GACCGGUCGGUGGGGGAUAACUGCGCGAAAGCGCCGCUAAUCCCGCAUAUCCUCGCAAGAGAAAAGCGCCUCAAACGCGCCGACCGCCGAGCCCGCGGCCCAUCAGGUCGUUGGCGGGGUAAUGGCCCACCAAGCCGGUGACGGGUCGCUGGUCUGUGAGGACGACCAGCCAGACUGGGACUGAGACACGGCCCAGACUCCUACGGGAGGCAGCAGCAAGGAAUUUUCGGCAAUGGGCGCAAGCCUGACCGAGCAACGCCGCGUGCAGGAUGACGGCCUUCGGGUUGUAAACUGCUUUUCGGGAGGACGACAUCGACGGUACUCCCACAAUAAGCCCCGGCUAACUCUGUGCCAGCAGCCGCGGUAAGACAGAGGGGGCAAGCGUUGUCCGGAUUGACUGGGCGUAAAGGGCCCGCAGGUGGUUUGGCACGUGUGGCGUGAAAUCGGACGGCUUAACCGUCCGCCGCCGUCGCAUACGGCCUCACUUGAGCGUUGCAGAGGUGCGCGGAAUUGCCGGUGUAGUGGUGAAAUGCGUAGAGAUCGGCAGGAACACCAAGGGGGAAGCCAGCGCACUGGGCAACUGCUGACACUCAGGGGCG
RNAcentral lists this ribosomal RNA (599 nucleotides) under uncultured bacterium. Its description in RNAcentral is "bacterial SSU rRNA". It matches the Rfam family "Bacterial small subunit ribosomal RNA", at positions 127 to 755 of the family's 1533-position model. The record is from RNAcentral.